CUCAGUUCGGAUUGGAGUCUGNAACCCGACUCCAUGAAGCUGGAUUCGCUAGUAAUCGCGCAUCAGCCACGGCGCGGUGAAUACGUUCCCGGGCCUUGUACACACCGCCCGUCACACCAUGGGAGUUUGUAACGCCCAAAGUCGGUGGCCUAACCUUUAUGGAGGGAGCCGCCUAAGGCGGGACAGAUGACUGGGGUGAAGUCGUAACAAGGUAAC
This 216-nucleotide ribosomal RNA is filed under the name uncultured bacterium. RNAcentral describes it as "partial 16S ribosomal RNA". It matches the Rfam family "Bacterial small subunit ribosomal RNA", at positions 1287 to 1500 of the family's 1533-position model. The record is from RNAcentral.